Molecule: ribosomal RNA, 253 nt
Filed under: uncultured Lactobacillus sp.
Lineage: Bacteria; Bacillati; Bacillota; Bacilli; Lactobacillales; Lactobacillaceae
Description: partial 16S ribosomal RNA
Rfam family: Bacterial small subunit ribosomal RNA
Source: RNAcentral
UACGUAGGUGGCAAGCGUUAUCCGGAUUUAUUGGGCGUAAAGGGAACGCAGGCGGUCUUUUAAGUCUGAUGUGAAAGCCUUCGGCUCAACCGGAGAAUUGCAUCAGAAACUGUUGAACUUGAGUGCAGAAGAGGAGAGUGGAACUCCAUGUGUAGCGGUGGAAUGCGUAGAUAUAUGGAAGAACACCAGUGGCGAAAGCGGCUCUCUGGUCUGUAACUGACGCUGAGGUUCGAAAGCGUGGGUAGCAAACAGG